UAAGGAAUAUUGGUCAAUGGACGCAAGUCUGAACCAGCCAUGCCGCGUGAAGGAUGAAGGUCCUCUGGAUUGUAAACUUCUUUUAUAGCAGAAUAAAGUGACCCACGUGUGGGUUUUUGUAUGUAUGCUAUGAAUAAGGAUCGGCUAACUCCGUGCCAGCAGCCGCGGUAAUACGGAGGAUCCGAGCGUUAUCCGGAUUUAUUGGGUUUAAAGGGUGCGUAGGCGGAAAGAUAAGUCAGCCUGUGAAAGUUUGCGGCUCAACCGUAAAAUUGCAGUUGAUACUGUUUUUCUUGAGUGUACAUAAGGUAGGCGGAAUUCGUGGUGUAGCGGUGAAAUGCUUAGAUAUCACGAAGAACUCCGAUUGCGAAGGCAGCUUACCGGGGUACAACUGACGCUGAUGCACGAAAGUGUGGGUAUCAAACA
Molecule: ribosomal RNA, 423 nt
Filed under: uncultured bacterium
Lineage: Bacteria
Description: bacterial SSU rRNA
Rfam family: Bacterial small subunit ribosomal RNA
Source: RNAcentral